Molecule: ribosomal RNA, 254 nt
Filed under: uncultured bacterium
Lineage: Bacteria
Description: partial 16S ribosomal RNA
Rfam family: Bacterial small subunit ribosomal RNA
Source: RNAcentral
CACGUAGGGUGCGAGCGUUGUCCGGAAUUAUUGGGCGUAAAGAGCUCGUAGGCGGUGUGUCGCGUCGGCCGUGAAAACUUGGGGCUUAACUCUGAGCGUGCGGUCGAUACGGGCAUCACUUGAGUUCGGCAGGGGAGACUGGAAUUCCUGGUGUAGCGGUGAAAUGCGCAGAUAUCAGGAGGAACACCGGUGGCGAAGGCGGGUCUCUGGGCCGAUACUGACGCUGAGGAGCGAAAGCAUGGGGAGCGAACCGG